UCAAACAAUCCAACAAUAUAAUAUCAAGCCAACAUAGUAAAGAAAUCCCAAUGGAUUAAAUCAGUCUAGCUAAACAUGUUCAUGUUUAAAACAAUCUAGGAAAUCAAUUACAAUGAAAGAAUAAUAAAAAUAAAACAUGUACACCCUUUUCUCUCGAAUUGGAUGAACAGCUUCAAAUCUGGAUCUACACUUUGAUUAAUCUCCCAAACUGCCUCUUGAAUUGCUUCCACUACGGUUUUGCACUCAGAACCUUGUGAUUCCGGGAUUCUUACUCCCCGCAACUCUCUCUCGCACUCAAUACUGUGCAGAAACCGAACCAGCCGCCAGUGCUAUAUGUCACUCUUUUUCCUCUCUUUUUUUCUAAGAAAAAUUCAUUUUUCUUAUAUAUUUAACUCAGCACGGCCGUGUUCAAGGUCGUGCUGGUCAGCACGGCCGAAGUCCAAGCCGUGCUGAAACUGUGGAUCUCACCAAGUAGGGUUUCACCACGGCCGUGUUUCUCCCCGUGUUGGCCACCACGGGCCGUGUUGCUCCCCGUGUUAUCCACCACAGGCCGUGCUGAAGGCCGUGGUGGCUACAAAAACCAUGCCCAAAGUGCCAAUUUCAAGAAUCAAAGCCAAUGGUUGAGCACGGCCAAAGUCCAGGCCGUGCUCAAUGUAUGCAUUGCGGGCUCUUGUUCGAUCUUGAUGAAUUCUCGUCCGUUUCUGCACGUAUUGAUCUAUAAUUGCUUAAACACCGAUGAUGGUCCUAUAAAUGUUCCUGAAAUGCAAAAGAACACAAAACACGGGUGAUCUGGGAAUAAAAGCACAAUAAUUGCCAAGAACAUACGCAAUAAUAUGCAAGCAAAUAUAUGUAAAACUAUGCUCAUCAUCGAUGUAUCAGUAUUGCUUAAAGAAUACCUUGAGAAAAUAUAACUAACCUUAAAUCUAGGAUGUAUCAUUCUAUUUAUAGCAGUACGGUUAGGAAAUGAAUUUUUUGAAUAUCACAAUAAAUUAAUAUAUAUCAAAACACUAAAAUAUUAUUUUCAACUUUAUUAUUUUUACUUUACUUUAUUUUUUCUAUUAUAUCUUUUAUAUUUUUUUUAUAUGAAAUGAAUUUUUGAAUAUGUCAAAUUAAAGUCAGCAUAACUUAAAUAUUUAACUCCAAUUGAAAAAAGCCAGUAUGUUUACCGAGGAUAGUAUUACCAAUAUAUUUUAUUAUAAUACAUUUAAAACAUACUUUCAUUUUACCUUUACUUUUUUAAAAAAAGUUUUGAUACAUCCAAAUUGCAACUUUAUUUCCUUUACCGGAAGAACUGAGAACUACAAUAAAACACAUUUUGUUUAGCUUCCAAGGUGAUGUUAAGGACUCCCAAAGCUGAGACAGAACAAGCAUAAGCCUAAUUCAUGGUCAAGUACAUGCAUUCUAUCAUCUUGGAGUCUUCAUUUUAUUUAUUUGUUCAUUUAUACUGUAUUAAUCUAUAAAUUUAGUUUCUACAUUAGAAUUCUUUCUUAGUGGCUUGCUAAGAACUAACUUUCUACAUAUGUCGAUGUAUCAGUAUUGCUUAAAGAAUACCUUGAGAAAAUAUAACUAAC
Molecule: long non-coding RNA, 1571 nt
Filed under: Ricinus communis (castor bean)
Lineage: Eukaryota; Viridiplantae; Streptophyta; Magnoliopsida; Malpighiales; Euphorbiaceae
Description: long non-coding RNA (RCOM_LNC001328)
Source: RNAcentral